This 405-nucleotide ribosomal RNA is filed under the name uncultured bacterium. Its description in RNAcentral is "partial 16S ribosomal RNA". It matches the Rfam family "Bacterial small subunit ribosomal RNA", at positions 30 to 526 of the family's 1533-position model. The record is from RNAcentral.
AUUGAACGCUGGCGGCAGGCUUAACACAUGCAAGUCGAACGAGUGGCGGACGGGUGAGUAAUGCUUGGGAAUCUAGCUUAUGGAGGGGGAUAACUACGGGAAACUGUAGCUAAUACCGCGUACCAUAGGAUGAGCCCAGAUGGGAUUAGGUAGUUGGUGAGUUAAAGGCUCACCAAGCCGACGCUCCCUAGCUGGUCUGAGAGGAUGACCAGCACCACUGGAACUGAGAGACGGCCCAGACUCCUACGGGGGGCAGCAGUGGGGAAUAUUGCGCAAUGGGGGCAACCUGACGCAGCCAUGCCGCGUGAAUGAAGAAUGCUUUCGGGUUUUAAAGUUCUUUCGGUAGGGAGGCGUUAACUGCAGAAGAAGCACCGGCUAACUCCGUGCCAGCCGCCGCGGUAAUAC